UGAAAACGUUGGAGGUACGGCCAAACGGCCGUUGAGAAAUACUCCCAUUAGCGGAUCAGGUUAAUACCUGCGGCGCGAAACGUUAAUUUCUAUAU
Molecule: non-coding RNA, 95 nt
Filed under: Sutterella sp. CAG:521
Lineage: Bacteria; Pseudomonadati; Pseudomonadota; Betaproteobacteria; Burkholderiales; Sutterellaceae
Also listed under: 1 other name
Description: TPP riboswitch aptamer (THI element)
Rfam family: TPP riboswitch aptamer (THI element)
About the family: Vitamin B(1) in its active form thiamin pyrophosphate (TPP) is an essential coenzyme that is synthesised by coupling of pyrimidine and thiazole moieties in bacteria. The previously detected thiamin-regulatory element, thi box was extended, resulting in a new, highly conserved RNA secondary structure, the THI element, which is widely distributed in eubacteria and also occurs in some archaea.
Source: Rfam by way of RNAcentral